CCUGGCUUCUCAAAAACAGAUUUUAUUUACAGGGAAAUACAAGCCAUACAAACUUCCAUGUAUGUAUAAACCUUGACAUCAAUGUGAAGACGGUAGAAUCCAACUCUCUGCCAUUCCCUUCUACAUAAACACCACAUUAUAUUACAUUACAAGUUCUGAGAGGGAGAAACACCAAAAACCAAAUGAAAGCAAGUCAGCUUUACAGAGAACUCUGUCAAAAUCUUGAAGUUAAAAGGUAACCAACUAUUUAGCAGUUGAGGAAAGAGGAAUCACACAAGCCGUCUUUUGAAGUUUCGAGUGGUUGCUUGAUAUGUACGAACUAGCAAACCAACUCCUAUACCAAUUCCAAGACAAACGCCGAGUCCAAUUCCUACGCCAACCCUCACACCAGCGUUGAACCAUGAUAGUUCACCAUCUUCACCCUCCAUAUAU
RNAcentral lists this unclassified non-coding RNA (432 nucleotides) under Hevea brasiliensis (rubber tree). The record is from RNAcentral. Lineage: Eukaryota; Viridiplantae; Streptophyta; Magnoliopsida; Malpighiales; Euphorbiaceae.